Molecule: ribosomal RNA, 201 nt
Filed under: uncultured Syntrophus sp.
Lineage: Bacteria; Pseudomonadati; Thermodesulfobacteriota; Syntrophia; Syntrophales; Syntrophaceae
Description: partial 16S ribosomal RNA
Rfam family: Bacterial small subunit ribosomal RNA
Source: RNAcentral
UCAAGGUCCUCAUGGCCUUUAUGCCCAGGGCUACACACGUGCUACAAUGGGUGGUACAAAGAGCAGCCAGCUCGCGAGAGUGAGCAAAUCUCAAAAAGCCAUCCUCAGUUCGGAUUGAAGUCUGCAACUCGACUUCAUGAAGUUGGAAUCGCUAGUAAUCGCGGAUCAGCAUGCCGCGGUGAAUACCGGUUCCCGGGCCUU